This 183-nucleotide small nuclear RNA is filed under the name Dermacentor silvarum. RNAcentral describes it as "U2 spliceosomal RNA". It matches the Rfam family "U2 spliceosomal RNA". From Rfam's summary of the family: U2 is a small nuclear RNA (snRNA) component of the spliceosome (involved in pre-mRNA splicing). The record is from RNAcentral. Lineage: Eukaryota; Metazoa; Arthropoda; Arachnida; Ixodida; Ixodidae.
AUACAUUGCCAACGCGCGUCAAAGUGCAGUGUCUGUUAUCUGCCUAAUAUCUGAUGCGGGUAGUAUUUGGACCUAAGAUAUUAAAGUUACUUUUGCAACUUGGCGGAGUGCUUGAAGCCUGCUUUACCUCCGCCGCGGGUCGGCCGGUAUUGCACUAUCUUCGGAAUUUUUGUUCUAUAGGCA